UAAGAAUCAGCCAGUCCAGCCCCUCGCUCUUUGCAGGAGCACCUCACACUCCACACUCCUUGCUGCCCUCGGGUGCUUUGGGCUACAGCUGCCACUUCACACUGGGAGGAUCCCAGUCUGUACUGGGACCAUCCCAGUCUGUGCUGGGACCUGACCAGGGCAUCCAGUUUGUCCUGUCCCUUUCAGGAAACUGAACAGGAAUUAGCCAGAGACAGCAGCUGGAUCAUUUCAUAACACCUGCUCAAAAGGAAGCAGCAAGAAAAGCAACAGGUUCACACUGUGCUGUGAGGAUGGCCCUACAGCAGCUGAAGGGGUUUUCCCAUUCCCAGUGCACAGAGCUACUGGAGAAAUGUCUCUCCACACCAGGAGAUGCAGCUGCUGUCCCCCAUCCAUCAGUUUCUUUGAGGAUGAUGGCAUCCUUUCCCUGCAAGCUGAUGCACCUUUGGCCAGGAAGAGGCCUUUAAACUGCAUUUUGUAGCCUCGAAAGAAACACCAGCAAGGUGCUAGGCAGCAGCAACAGCUCACCUGGGGUGGCAGGAGCCCCAGGACAGAUGCUGGGACACUCAGUCCUGCCCCAGUGCUGCUGCCACAGGUGCUGCCACUGCAUCCCUGUGUGAGCAGCUCCCUCGCUGGGCUUUUGGCACAUCCUUUGCUGGGCUGUAAACGUCAAAGCAGACGGCAUCUGCUCUCUGUGCCUUGCUGUAAUUAGGAAACAAUAUUAUUAAAACCACUUCCCAUCUCUG
Long non-coding RNA from Cyanistes caeruleus (blue tit), 743 nucleotides. RefSeq lists it as uncharacterized. The record is from RefSeq and is a predicted model, not a curated record. NCBI's taxonomy places the organism in Eukaryota, Metazoa, Chordata, Aves, Passeriformes, Paridae.